UAGACGAUAAAGAUAAAUUAAAAGUCAACGACGUCAUUCCUAAGGACGUACAAGACGAUUUUUCAAAGUGUUUUGAAUAAUAAAUUGUGAAUAUUAACUAAACAUUUUGAUUAUAAUAUUAAAUAAUUAAUACUAUUACAAUAUUUUAAAGAAAAUAGUUAAUGGAUAUUAUAUUAUUUCAAAAUGAGAUAGUGUAGCUAUACGAUUGUAAUUUAAUAAACAUUUUUUUUUAAAGUUAAUCUUUUUUAUUCUUAUAAUCGAAAAACAGACAUAAAAUUAAAUGUAAAUUUAUAUAAUUAAAGCUAUAAACCACAAAUAUUUUAUUACUACAUAUUUAGUUAUGAAAAAAAAAAUAUAUAUCUUAAUAUUUUUUAGUCGUUUACAAAGGUACAAUGUAUCUUUUGACUUUGCCUAUUAAAAUAUAUAUAUUUAUAAGCAGAUUGUUAAUUAAGUUUAUUUAAUUAUAAUUGCAAUAAAAGAGGGUUGAGAUGCACUCGAUUAACACGACGUUAAAAUAAUGGUUUUAAUAUUAAUAAUAUGUAUCGAAAUAUGUAGUAUUACAAAUUAAUGCUUAUUGCAUAAAAUGAAACAUUACAUUGACACUCACGAUUCUAUUAUAUCUAAGUCCAAUGCGCUCUAAGGUAUAGAAAAUAUAUUUUGCGGACAGUGCAGUGAGUACAUAGUUGCAGCGGAAUGGAAUUCGAACUUUAUGUCCAUAGACUUCUUUGCGAUUGAAAAAAAAGUACUCAUGUAUUUCAUAGCGUCCAUGCAAUUCGUAUUUAUAGCAUUAUUAAAUUGUUCGUAUCCGUCGUCGAUGUCGGAUAAUUUUGUUUCGGACCACUGCGAAAAGUCUUUUUGUUCAUCCGAGGGAAUAAAUUCGUCGACAUUUAUACUAACGCUGUUGUCUACAAUUUUUAUUAUGGAAAUGAGAGAGACCAUGCGAUUAGUGGGUUGGGGUUCAUUCUGUGCGUCUGUAUCGGUGUAUAAAGGUAAAUCGAGAUAUUUGUAAAAUAAUUCUGUUCCNU
Molecule: non-coding RNA, 1025 nt
Organism: Cinara cedri
Lineage: Eukaryota; Metazoa; Arthropoda; Insecta; Hemiptera; Aphididae
Source: the annotation of a GenBank genome assembly